RNAcentral lists this unclassified non-coding RNA (21 nucleotides) under Mus musculus (house mouse). Its description in RNAcentral is "oocyte_clustered_small_RNA14142". Lineage: Eukaryota; Metazoa; Chordata; Mammalia; Rodentia; Muridae. The record is from RNAcentral.
CCAGCCAGUAAGCAAAGCCUC